ACAGUACUCCUACGGGAGGCAGCAGUGGGGAAUAUUGCACAAUGGGGGAAACCCUGAUGCAGCCAUGCCGCGUGUGUGAAGAAGGCCUUCGGGUUGUAAAGCACUUUCAGUAGGGAGGAAGGUAGUGUAGUUAACACCUGCAUUAUUUGACGUUACCUACAGAAGAAGCACCGGCUAACUCCGUGCCAGCAGCCGCGGUAAUACGGAGGGUGCGAGCGUUAAUCGGAAUUACUGGGCGUAAAGCGCAUGCAGGCGGCCUGUUAAGUCAGAUGUGAAAGCCCCGGGGCUUAACCUCGGAAUUGCAUUUGAAACUGGCAGGCUAGAGUCUUGUAGAGGGGGUAGAAUUUCAGGUGUAGCGGUGAAAUGCGUAGAGAUCUGAAGGAAUACCAGUGGCGAAGGCGGCCCCCUGGACAAAGACUGACGCUCAGAUGCGAAAGCGUGGGGAGCAAACAGGAUUAGAUACCCUGGUAG
Molecule: ribosomal RNA, 471 nt
Filed under: uncultured bacterium
Lineage: Bacteria
Description: bacterial SSU rRNA
Rfam family: Bacterial small subunit ribosomal RNA
Source: RNAcentral